Long non-coding RNA from Rhagoletis pomonella (apple maggot), 369 nucleotides. RefSeq lists it as uncharacterized. The transcript has 2 exons. Lineage: Eukaryota; Metazoa; Arthropoda; Insecta; Diptera; Tephritidae. The record is from RefSeq and is a predicted model, not a curated record.
UUCCCCCGUAAACGAAGCUGGCCCAGGAAACCAUAGAACCAAUCCCUUGUCAAUUAGUUCUUUAUUUUCUGGAUGAUAGAUGGACUUAAGGUAAGCAUAACGCGGUUUUAGCUCAUGACGCAAACCAACAAGAGUUUGGAGUGCAUACUUAGUGCGCGGCCCUGACACGCGUAUAACAGAGACUCCACACUUGCCGUAGCCUGGGUGUUUAAAAAAUGUGUUGAUAAAGUCAAUUGUUGACUUACAGAAUUAAAAGGGUACGGUUUAGUUAUUUGCCCAAUGAUUUCGGGCUAUUGUGUCCGAAUGGGUGACCCGAUCCAAAAAAUUAUUUUCGGUCACUAAUUUGUUAAUAAAUUAGAUCGGAAAAUA